RNAcentral lists this ribosomal RNA (506 nucleotides) under uncultured Glomeromycotina. Its description in RNAcentral is "partial small subunit ribosomal RNA". It matches the Rfam family "Eukaryotic small subunit ribosomal RNA", at positions 591 to 1092 of the family's 1831-position model. Lineage: Eukaryota; Fungi; Glomeromycota. The record is from RNAcentral.
CCAAUAGCGUAUAUUAAAGUUGUUGCAGUUAAAAAGCUCGUAGUUGAAUUUCGGGAUUGACACAUCGGUCGUGCCCUAAGGGGUAUGAACUGGUGUAGUCAGUUUCUCACCUUCUGGAGAACCGCGAUGUCCUUAAUUGGGUGCCGCGAGGAACCAGGACCUUUACUUUGAAAAAAUUAGAGUGUUUAAAGCAGGCAUUUUGCUUGAAUACAUUAGCAUGGAAUAAUAAAAUAGGACGGAUGGUUCUAUUUUGUUGGUUUCUAGGAUCACCGUAAUGAUUAAUAGGGAUAGUUGGGGGCAUUAGUAUUCAAUUGUCAGAGGUGAAAUUCUUGGAUUUAUUGAAGACUAACUACUGCGAAAGCAUUUGCCAAGGAUGUUUUCAUUAAUCAAGAACGAAAGUUAGGGGAUCGAAGACGAUCAGAUACCGUCGUAGUCUUAACCAUAAACUAUGCCGACUAGGAAUCAGACGAUGUUAAAUUUUUUAAUGACUCGUUUGGCACCUUACG